This 5883-nucleotide long non-coding RNA is filed under the name Xyrichtys novacula (pearly razorfish). Lineage: Eukaryota; Metazoa; Chordata; Actinopteri; Labriformes; Labridae. The record is from RNAcentral.
CAGAGGACUCUCUCAGUUUGAAAGGCAUAUUAUCUGGAAUAUGAAGAUCAACCACUCCAUUAUCACCAGAGUCUUUAUCACUCACACUAACCACAGCUAUCACUGUGUCUAGUUCUAUGUUUUCAUUGACUGGACUCUGAAAUGAUUUAAUAGAUAUUUCUGGGUGGUUAUCAUUCAUGUCUUCUACCAGAAUCUUUAUGGUACACUGUCCUGACAAACUGUUGGCUCCUUUGUCAGUAGCUAUAACUUCCAUAUCAUAAAUCCUGAAAUCCUCAUAAUUCAGCAUGCCUUUAACAGUGAUUUCACCAGUGGAGGGAUUCAGGUGAAAUGUUUCCUGUGUUUUCUCUGAAGUGUAUAAACUGUAAGAGUAAGUUACAUCAGAGUUAGAUCCCUCAUCUAAGUCUGUGGCAUUCAGAUGGAUAACAAGACUCCCUAUGGGAGAGUUUUCCAUUAUUUUUAUCUCAUAAUUCACUUUCGUAAAUGUGGGUGCAUUAUCGUUUGUGUCUAAAACACGAAUUAUUACACUUGCAGUGCCUGAUCGAGCCGGUGUUCCUCCAUCUACAGCUGUGAGUAUUAAAUUAUGGACAGCUUGCUUCUCUCGAUCUAAAGCCUUUACCAAAAUCAACUCGGCAAACUUUGCUCCCUCUCUUACCGUUUGAACCUCAAUAUUGAAAUGUUCACUUUCACUCAGGCGGUAUGUUUUCACAGAAUUUGUUCCAACAUCGGGAUCAACAGCAUUACUGAGAGAAAAUCUCUCUCCUACAGGCGUCGAUUCAGAGAUAUCCAAGUGUAUGACGUCUCUUCUAAACUGAGGGGCGUUGUCAUUUAUAUCUAAAAUUUCUACUUCUAUGUUAAAAAUUCGUAUAGGGUUUUCUAGUGUAACUUCCAGUCUCAGAUAACAAGUCGCUGACGAUUUUGUAUUGCAUAUGUCUUCUCUGUCAAUUUUCUCCACGAUAUACAGCUCACCAGUCUCUUUGUUCACGUCCAGAUAUUUCUUAUUUGCAAUAAUGUCGAGCCGCAUCCUCCGCUGUUUCAGUGUUUUCACAUCCAAGCUCAGAUCGGCGGCAAGGUUUGCAACAAUUGAUCCUUCUUUCAUUUCCUCUGGUAUUGAAUAAUGAGUCACUGAAGACGAUAUUUUCCCAACGAAAGUGAAAAGAACAGCGAACAGCACGUACCUCCUGCAGGGCUCCAUUGCUACAAAGCGUCCUAUUGUUGUGUGGACGUAAUGCGGUCUGAACGAUUAAAAUCUAAUUUCUAGAAACAUCAGAUAUUUCUGUGACCGCAACGAUAUCGUACAUGAGAGCCCUACACUUCCGAGCACACUCAUAGGCUUUUAAAGAAAAACGCCUAGUCCGGUUAGAGUUUCAGCACCACGGAGCUGUCCGAUCGUCUAAAGCACUGAUGAAAACUGUCUCGUGUCAUGACGUUUAGGGGCCGGCAUUUAAUUUUGAAAACAGCGCCACCCUCCAAUUUUUAGAGAAAUAUAUGUACAAAUACUGAAGAUUAAAUAAACAGUGAUUAAAAGUGUUUCACUAUGUUCUUUUUCCCGAAUAUAGAUAGGAUCAGUAAAAACGGUCAUUCUCUUGACUUGCACUUUGGAAUUAAUGAAUGUUAAGAUGUUGUUCUGUUCAUAUAAUAUGUAUUUACACCCUAAAACUCUGGGGUAAAAAACUUUUUCUUUAAAUACACCCCUGGGUCAAAUACAAUUUGGACCAGCUAACCACUGGAUUUCCUUAACUCAGCCAGAUGUAUGAAAUAAAUACCCCAGUUGCAUGUUUGUUUUCACUUGGUACCACUAAGUCCAUCAAUAAAAAUGAACCAGCGUGUUCCUCGAAUUGUAAACCCUACAUGCUGGGUUCAGUUAAUCACAUUUUGGGCCUACUUUGUCCCAGAGGUGUGUUAAAAUCAACCCAAUAUGGGUUGAGUCAUACAAAGCUUUUUCAUAGUGUCAAUGUACUCAAUAUCUCACUUAAUUAUCAGGUAGAAUUUAAAAAAAAUUCCUUUACCCAAAGUCACGUAGAAUAUAAAUAUUUUAAUGACUUUUUAUAAACACCAAAAACUAAUUGUACAUCACUAUAGCAGUCCCUCAAUCAUAACAGCAAAAUUGUAUUUUUCAAAAACACUUUUUAAAACAGCAAAUACAAACUUGCUGUCUAACAAAUACUUUAGGGGAGCACAGCUGGUCAUCUGUAAAUGUCAGGAUAGAAGGGUACGGCCUCAAGUUACAACAUCAUGUUUGAGCCUUUUUGAGGAGGGAAAGAUACUAAAGAUUACAUUAAAAAAUAAUGGAUACUAAGAAUUCAAGGAUAGGUAACAUGUUAUAACCUGAAGAUUGGAUUGGAUUUCUUCCCUCGGACAGGACAACUGUGCUUUCAUCCUUGCGCAAAUCUAGAGAAUAUCUGAUGGAUGUAUUGUUGAUCACAGCAUUUCAGUGCUUCCCUGAACUCACAUUACAUCAGUCUGUUCACCAUUUAUCUCUUUCACCUGUUGUCUCUAUUAUACUGUUAGCAUUAAAUGGACUAUGUUUAUAUUGCAUUCUCUAGUCUUUUGACCACUCAAAGCACUUUUACAUAACAUGUCAAAUUCACCCAUUCACACCACAUUCACACACAAAUAGCGGAGGCUGCUAUGGCUCCCAUGUGUGAAAAUUGUUUAUUCUUCCUUUCUCUGAUUUUAACGUUGCCUUUUAAAGCUUAGAGAGGAAGGUGCUGAAUUUUCAACGACAGGCAAAAAAAAAAAAAAUACUGUUAAGGCUGCAGCUGUUUGCAUUUGAUUUCUCUCUUACUUUGUAACAGUCACUGGGAGGAAUAAAACACAUGACCAGGCAGAUGGGUUGAACUAAAGAACCCACCUUCAUUCAAAUAGCACAAAGGUUGGCCAACAAAGUUUCGCCAGCAUGAAGUGAAAUUAAAAUAAAUGGCAUUUUAAAGAAUGCAAGAAAAAUGUAAGUCAGACUUGUACCUGCAGAGUGGAGGCUGCUGAGUCACUCGUGUCUGUCAGUCCUGUACCUCUGGGUAUACUGGACACAAUGUAUCUGGAUCCCUUUGGCACAGGCUGUCUGACCACCAGCUUUCCUUUCCUGGUCUCUGCUAGAAACAGACUGUACCAGUAGGCAUCGUUGGACACCAGAGUGGAGUCUGCGAUGGUGGAGUUCCUCUCACUGAUCACACUGUUCCUGCAGGGAGGAGCCGCUUUGCUGGGCUUGGUUUUCUGACACUUGAGCACGAUGGUGACCAGUAUGGUGAUGAGCAGGAGAAAUGACACCGAGCCCAGACCGAUGACCAAGUACAGGUUCAGGUCAUUGAAGAUGUCGUACGCCAGAGGCACCUCAGUCAUGUCAGCGUAGGCCUUGACAGCAGUCUCCACUGUGGACAGCUUGAUGGUGACUGUAGCAGACAGAGCGGGCUGCCCGUUGUCCUUGGCAACAACAACCAGUCUCUGGUGGCGUGGGUCUCUGUAGCUGAACAUCCUCAUAGUCCGGAUCUCUCCGUUGUACUGGUCCAGACUGAACAAGGUGGCGUCGGUCACCUGCAGAAACUGGUAGGUGAUCCGAGAGUUGUGCACAGAGUCUGUGUCCAAGGCUAUCACCUUGGCAACCAGAGAGCCCUUAUCUGUGGACCUGGGGAUCUUUUCCUCCACCACUGAGCCAUGUGCUCGCCAUGGAGACACAAUGACCGGAGCGUUAUCAUUCUGGUCCACAAUGAUGAUGUGGACUGUGACGUUACUGCUGAGAGGAGGAGAGCCAGAGUCUCUGGCCUCAAUGUGGAAAAGAAAGUCCUUCUCAAUCUCAUAGUCAAAAGUUUUGAGUGCGUAAAGAUUUCCGUUCUCUGGAUUGAUGGAGAACAGCAUGGACAUGGAGGUGUUGGCUAUCUCCUUCUCCAGGAUGAAAUAAACUAGAUACUGGUUUUCAUGGAGGUCAGGGUCAAAGGCAGUGAGGGAGCUGAGCAGGGCUCCAGGUGCGUUAUUCUCCAUCACACGGAUGGUAUAAAAAGACUGAGGGAACUGUGGGACAUUGUCGUUGACAUCCAGCAGCUCUAAGGUCAUAGUUUCAUUGUCAGAUAAAGGAGGAGAACCUCUGUCUGUCACAGUGAAGGUGAUGUCAUAUUCUGGAACCUUCUCACGGUCUAAGGGCUCUGACACCACUAACUCAUAAUAGUUAUCAGAGGACUCUCUCAGUUUGAAAGGCAUAUUAUCUGGAAUAUGAAGAUCAACCACUCCAUUAUCACCAGAGUCUUUAUCACUCACACUAACCACAGCUAUCACUGUGUCUAGUUCUAUGUUUUCAUUGACUGGACUCUGAAAUGAUUUAAUAGAUAUUUCUGGGUGGUUAUCAUUCAUGUCUUCUACCAGAAUCUUGAUGGUACACUGUCCUGACAAACUGUUGGCUCCUUUGUCAGUAGCUAUAAUCUCCAUAUCAUAAAUCCUGAAAUCCUCAUAAUUCAGCAUGCCUUUAACAGUGAUUUCACCGGUGGAGGGAUUCAGGUGAAAUGUUUCCUGUGUUUUCUCUGAAGUGUAUAAACUGUAAGAGUAAGUUACAUCAGAGUUAGAUCCCUCAUCUAAGUCUGUGGCAUUUAGAUGAAUGACAAGGCUUCCUAUGGGGGAGUUUUCCAUAAUUUCAAUGUUAUAGUUUUGUUGAUUAAAUUUUGGUGCAUUGUCAUUUGUGUCCAAAACAUGAACUAUUAUACUGGCCGUUCCAGAUCGAGCAGGCUGCCCCCCAUCUACAGCUGUGAGUAUUAAAUUGUGAACAGCUUGCUGCUCUCGAUCUAAAGCCUUUGUUAAUAUCAAAUCUGCAAAUUUUGACCCAUCUCUUCCAGUUUGAACUUCUAUGUUGAAAUGCUCACUGCUACUUAAAAUGUAUGUUUUGACUGAAUUAGUUUCAAUAUCGGGAUCAACUGCAUUACUGAGAGAGAAUCUUUCUCCCGCGGACGUUGAUUCGGAAAUGUCUAAAUGAAUGGCGUCUCUUCUAAACUGAGGGGCGUUGUCGUUUAUAUCUAAAAUCUCUAGUUCUAUAUUAAAAAUUCUUAACGGAUUCUCAAGUAUCACCUCAAGUUUGAGAUAACAUGAUGCGGACAUCUUUGUAGGGCAAUGUUCUCUAUCUAUUUUCUCUACAAUAUACAGUUCACCCGUGUCUUUGUUCACGUCCACGUAUUUUUUGUUGGCGAUGAUGUCAAGGCGCAUCUUCCUCUGUUUUAGAGUUCUAACGUCCAGGCUCAGAUCGGUGGCAAGAUUAGCGACAACAGAUCCUUCUUUCAUUUCUUCGGGAAUUGAGUAAUGGGUCACUGAAGCAGAAAUAUAAUGGACCAUGGUAAAAAGAAUAAGGAGCGAAACGUACCUUUUGUAUGACUGCAUAAUUAAGGCAGAGUCCAUUGUUGUGGGAGUGAUCAUCUAUUGAAACGCUACUUAGAUUUAACAUUUGUUUCCGCUGAUGUUAAUGGUAGUUGAUCCGACCUUCAUGAAAACACAGUUUUGUGUGUUAAAUCCCCAAAAGAAUCUUCAUAUAUCCAAACGGAAAUGUGAUCUCUGUUAUUUCAUCUGGCUUCAGCACCACAGAGCUCUCCUCUCUUUACUGCCCCUCCCUUUUUAAAUGAAACCCUCGUCAUGGCGUUUAUGUCGUGGUAUUUUUUUUUAGUAAACAGCGCCACUCGUUAUGUCUUAGAAAACCAUAGGUUAAGAAACGCUGUGAAAGAUAACAAAAUGUACUACUUGGAACUACAAGCCGCUUCAGGUGUCUGAAGAAAAAGUCGGCUACAAUAAAUUCGUUUCAAGCUUAUCAGCCAUACACCUUUCGGAUAACACACACAUACACACGCACACACGCACACACACUUAAAAUUAACACAUCUAUAAAUAUAUAUCAAUGUAUCUACAAGCCUUUAAAACAAU